RNAcentral lists this non-coding RNA (120 nucleotides) under uncultured Geminigera. The record is from RNAcentral. Lineage: Eukaryota; Cryptophyceae; Pyrenomonadales; Geminigeraceae.
GGCUGCGUGUGUAGUGUGCUGACGCUGCCUGCUGUCUGCUCUUGCGCAGAAGGGCAACAUGCCUCUGCAUGUGGCAGUAAUGAACCCAGCAAGGCUGGAAAUAGUGCAAGCGCUGCUGGA